This is a long non-coding RNA of Drosophila eugracilis, 1422 nucleotides long. RefSeq lists it as uncharacterized. The transcript is spliced from 2 exons. Lineage: Eukaryota; Metazoa; Arthropoda; Insecta; Diptera; Drosophilidae. The record is from RefSeq and is a predicted model, not a curated record.
UAACGGAUUACACUUUUUAUUACUUUAAAAAAAACUCGUAAUCAUGUGCUCAUCAUGGUUUUAAACAUUAGCCAGGUCAUUUGACUUUCUAUCCUUUUCUUCAAGCACUUGUCGUGUCAUAUGAAUAAUUUUAAAAAUAAAUUAGCAAUGUAUGUAUGUACGAGUAUGUAUAAUGAGAAUUAUUAUAAAUACUUUUUUUACUGUUUGUAUCUACAAAACCCAUCUUGGGUAUUAUAUUAAAUUCAUUUUGUUGGAUGCAUACAAACAUUUUGUAUCUGUCUUACUUAUACUAUUGCUUUUCAUUAAAAAGUUUUUAUCUAAAUAUCUAAUAAUUAUAUUAGUUAUUAUGGUUUCUACUACUUCUAAUCGGGCAAAAAGUGUUCCGCUCAAACUUACAAAUAUUUCUUAUUCAUUAAUUUUGUUUCAUCAUAUUAUUUUAAAUGUAGAAAAAAAUUUUGACAUUGUAUAGGACCAUCUUUAGCAUCAGCUGGGCGUAGCCAGAUUGUUGCAUGCUGAUGCUCCCUCUAUGGCGCAGAUGGCGUCCUGGGCUUAGGCGCUUUCGGUGCCGGUCCUGGCACAGGUGUAGUUACAGUGAACACUGUAUAGCGAUUCAGGGCAAUCGUGUAAGGGCACACUUUUGGACAAUGUGGCACUAUUUUCGGCAUUGUGGUUUAGUUAUUCACUUCCAAUUAACAUUGCUGCUGAACAAUUUUUUUUUCCGAUUUUGUGGCGUUUUGGCUUGUAAUUUUUGGGCUGUAGUCCACGCGGGAGCUGGUGUAUUUGUGUAGAAUAGCCACUAUAUGUGUGCUACCCCUUUCUUAAUUUUAUUGUCGAUACCUUCACUCGAGAUCUAAUCACUCAGACUCUUUUUCUGUUUCUAUCUAUAUGCCGUGCCGUACCAAUUGGUUCUUGAUUUCUACCAGUCCUCGCCCUUACUUCCGGCCCUUUUCUUUACUUCUUGAUUUUCCAUAUUUCACAAUUCAGGUAUCCAAAGAUUUUGAUUCAAUGACACGGUUUUCAUGCUAUGAUCGUUGUUAGUUUAUAGUUGUUGUCCAAAAUGAGAGUGAUUUUACAGUCAUUGGCUCGCGGCCAGCAGAGGUCGGGAGCGGUCGGCAGCGGCCUUGUACAUAAGAACGUUCAAUCAUCAUACAUAAGGCGGGUGACAGCGAAAGAGCAAGUGAAAUUCUAUAUGCAUGCAUUUUAUGUAUAUGAAUUAGGGCUAUGGAUAUGUGAUGGCACUAGCACUUCCCAAAAACUAGGCUCUGCGGCGCAAUCAUUUUACUGCCGGGCACUUGAAUUUAACGACCGAGACAUUUGUGUAUAUAUAGUAAAAUUGUUUACUAAUUUUAUGAGUCGAACUAAUGUCCCGUCAGUUGACUAAGGACAACGCUAAGAAGAAUAAAUUAACGAACAACGAAUUUA